This 973-nucleotide non-coding RNA is filed under the name Spizaetus tyrannus (black hawk-eagle). RNAcentral's name for it is "12S ribosomal RNA". It matches the Rfam family "Bacterial small subunit ribosomal RNA". Lineage: Eukaryota; Metazoa; Chordata; Aves; Accipitriformes; Accipitridae. The record is from RNAcentral.
AAAAGACUUAGUCCUAACCUUACUGUUAACUCGUGCCAAAUGUAUACAUGCAAGUAUCCGCGCCCCAGUGUAAAUGCCCUUGAUUCCUUACUAAGACGACAGGAGCAGGUAUCAGGCACACCCACUUAGCCGUAGCCCAAGACGCCUAGCCCAGCCACACCCCCACGGGUACUCAGCAGUAAUUAACAUUAAGCAAUAAGUGUAAACUUGACUUAGUUAUGGCACCCUAGGGCUGGUAAAUCUUGUGCCAGCCACCGCGGUCAUACAAGAAGCCCAAGUUAACAGCCAUCCGGCGUAAAGAGCGGGUGCUUACUAUCUAAACAUACUAGGGUUAAACCGCGGCUAAGCUGUCAUAAGCCCAAGACGCGCGUAAGACCACCUCCAAGGCGACCCCAACACCCAUGAUCAACUAAACCCCGCGAAAGCCAGGGCACAAACUGGGAUUAGAUACCCCACUAUGCCUGGCCCUAAAUCUUAAUACUUCCCCCACCAAAGUAUUCGCCCGAGUACUACGAGCACAAACGCUUAAAACUCUAAGGACUUGGCGGUGCCCCACACCCACCUAGAGGAGCCUGUUCUAUAAUCGAUAACCCACGCUACACCCCACCACUCCUAGCCCGGUCAGCCUACAUACCGCCGUCGCCAGCUCACCUCCUCUGAGAGACCAGCAGUGAGCCCAAUAGCCCCCCUCCCUAAAAAGACAGGUCAAGGUAUAGCCCACGGAGUGGAAGAAAUGGGCUACAUUUUCUAGGAUAGAAUAUCACACGGAAGGGGGCGUGAAACAGCCCCUGGAAGGCGGAUUUAGCAGUAAAAUGGGACAAUAGAGCCCUAUUUAAGCCGGCCCUGAGGCACGUACAUACCGCCCGUCACCCUCCUCGCAGGCCAUAGCCCACCCAUAACUAAUAACCCAGUCAGCUGAAGAUGAGGUAAGUCGUAACAAGGUAAGUGUACCGGAAGGUGCACUUAGCAUACC